Molecule: ribosomal RNA, 356 nt
Filed under: uncultured bacterium
Lineage: Bacteria
Description: bacterial SSU rRNA
Rfam family: Bacterial small subunit ribosomal RNA
Source: RNAcentral
CGUAGGAACGUACCCCAAACUGAGGGAUAACUGCUCGAAAGNGUAGCUAAUACCGCAUGUGCUCUAAGGAGUAAAAGCUUCGGCGGUUUGGGAACGGCCUGCGUACGAUUAGAUUGUUGGUGAGGUAAUGGCUCACCAAGUCGAUGAUCGUUAGCUGGUCUGAGAGGAUGAUCAGCCAGACUGGGACUGAGAACGGCCCAGACUCCUACGGGAGGCAGCAGUAGGGAAUUUUCCACAAUGGACGAAAGUCUGAUGGAGCAACGCCGCGUGCAGGAUGAAUGCCUUCGGGUUGUAAACUGCUUUUAUAUGUGACGAGUAUGACGGUAGCAUAUGAAUAAGGAUCGGCUAACUCCGUG